RNAcentral lists this ribosomal RNA (446 nucleotides) under uncultured bacterium. RNAcentral's name for it is "partial 16S ribosomal RNA". It matches the Rfam family "Bacterial small subunit ribosomal RNA", at positions 338 to 795 of the family's 1533-position model. The record is from RNAcentral.
CCUACGGGUGGCAGCAGUCGAGAAUCAUGCACAAUGGGGGAAACCCUGAUGGAGCGACGCCGCGUGGGGGAAUGAAGGUCUUCGGAUUGUAAACCCCUGUCAUGUGGGAGCAAAUUAAAAAGAUAGUACCACAAGAGGAAGAGACGGCUAACUCUGUGCCAGCAGCAGCGGUAAUACAGAGGUCUCAAGCGUUGUUCGGAAUCACUGGGCGUAAGGCGUGCGGAGGCUGUUUCGUAAGUCGGGUGUGAAAGGCGCGGGCUCAACCCGCGGACGGCACAUGAUACUGCGAGACUAGAGUAAUGGAGGGGGAACCGGAAUUCUCGGUGUAGCCGUGAAAUGCGUAGAUAUCGAGAGGAACACUCGUGGCGAAGGCGGGUUCCUGGACAUUAACUGACGCUGAGGCACGAAGGCCAGGGGAGCGAAAGGGAUUAGAUACCCGGGUAGUC